RNAcentral lists this ribosomal RNA (490 nucleotides) under uncultured bacterium. RNAcentral describes it as "partial 16S ribosomal RNA". It matches the Rfam family "Bacterial small subunit ribosomal RNA", at positions 29 to 507 of the family's 1533-position model. The record is from RNAcentral.
AUUGAACGCUGGCGGAAGGCCUAACACAUGCAAGUCGACCGGAAACAGGAGAAGGCUUGCUUCUUUCCGACGGGGGGGGGGAGGGGGGGGAAAUGUCGGGGAAACUGCCGAUUGGGGGGGGUAAACACCUGAAAAGGGUGGCUAUAACGCCAAAAGGUGCCAAACCAAAGAGGGGGGCCCUUCGGGCCCCUUGCAAUCGAUUUGGCCCAGAUGGGAUUAGCUUGUUGGUGGGGUAACGGCUCACCAAGGCGACGAUCCCUAGCUGGUCUGAGAGGAUGACCAGCCACACUGGAACUGAGACACGGUCCAGACUCCUACGGGAGGCAGCAGUGGGGAAUAUUGCACAAUGGGCGCAAGCCUGAUGCAGCCAUGCCGCGUGUAUGAAGAAGGCCUUCGGGUUGUAAAGUACUUUCAGCGGGGAGGAAGGGAGUAAAGUUAAUACCUUUGCUCAUUGACGUUACCCGCAGAAGAAGCACCGGCUAACUCCGUG